CUACGGGAGGCAGCAGUGAGGAAUAUUGGUCCAUGGGAGAGAUCCUGAACCAGCCAAGCCGCGUGAGGGAAGACGGCCCUAUGGGUUGUAAACCUCUUUUGUCGGAGAACAAAACCCGGGACGAGUCCCGGACUGCGUGUAUCCGAAGAAAAAGCAUCGGCUAACUCCGUGCCAGCAGCCGCGGUAAUACGGAGGAUGCGAGCGUUAUCCGGAUUUAUUGGGUUUAAAGGGUGCGUAGGCGGUCCGUUAAGUCAGCGGUAAAAUUGCGGGGCUCAACCCCGUCGAGCCGUUGAAACUGGCAGACU
This 305-nucleotide ribosomal RNA is filed under the name uncultured bacterium. RNAcentral's name for it is "bacterial SSU rRNA". It matches the Rfam family "Bacterial small subunit ribosomal RNA", at positions 339 to 642 of the family's 1533-position model. The record is from RNAcentral.